GAGGGGUAACAUUGAUUGCUUGCAAUCAGAUGACGACCGGCGCACGGGUGCGUAACGCGUAUAGAACCUACCUUUUACAGAGGGAUAGCCCAGAGAAAUUUGGAUUAAUACCUCAUAGUGUUUUAGAUUGGCAUCGAUCUAAGAUUAAAGAUUUAUCGGUAAAAGAUGGCUAUGCGUCCUAUUAGUUAGUUGGUAAGGUAACGGCUUACCAAGACAUCGAUAGGUAGGGGUCCUGAGAGGGAGAUCCCCCACACUGGUACUGAGACACGGACCAGACUCCUACGGGAGGCAGCAGUGAGGAAUAUUGGACAAUGGAGGCAACUCUGAUCCAGCCAUGCCGCGUGCAGGAUGACUGCCCUAUGGGUUGUAAACUGCUUUUAUAUAGGAAGAAACGUUUCCAUGCGUGGGGAUUUGACGGUACUAUAUGAAUAAGCACCGGCUAACUCCGUGCCAGCAGCCGCGGUAAU
This 467-nucleotide ribosomal RNA is filed under the name uncultured Bacteroidota bacterium. RNAcentral describes it as "bacterial SSU rRNA". It matches the Rfam family "Bacterial small subunit ribosomal RNA", at positions 64 to 524 of the family's 1533-position model. The record is from RNAcentral. Lineage: Bacteria; Pseudomonadati; Bacteroidota.